Molecule: ribosomal RNA, 248 nt
Filed under: uncultured bacterium
Lineage: Bacteria
Description: partial 16S ribosomal RNA
Rfam family: Bacterial small subunit ribosomal RNA
Source: RNAcentral
GACAGAGGCCCAAGCGUUAGGCGGAAUCACUGGCUUAAAGCGUGUGUAGGCGGACGCCUAAGUGUCUUGUGAAAUCCCACGGCUCACCCGUGGAACUGCUGGCAUACUGGGCGUCUUGGGCCAACUAGGGGCAGCCGGAACAAGCGGUGGAGCGGUGAAAUGCGUAGAUAUCGCUUGGAACGCCGAAGGUGAAAACAGGCUGCUGGGUGCGCCGACGCUGAGACACGAAGACCGGGGAGGCAAACGGG